Molecule: unclassified non-coding RNA, 240 nt
Filed under: soil metagenome
Description: partial contains 5.8S ribosomal RNA, internal transcribed spacer 2, and large subunit ribosomal RNA
Source: RNAcentral
AACUGAUACUACCUGCGGGAACCUGCGGAGGGAUCAUUACCGAGUACCGGGUCUUUCAGGCCCUUACUCCCACCCUUUUGUUUACCAAACCACUUUUUCGUUGCCUUGGUGGUGACUUGUUCCCUCUUUUUGGGGGGCAGUCCCACCAGGGGAACACCCCUUAAACUCUUGUCAAAAUCAGACUGUCUGAGAAAAAAACAAAUGAAUUAAAACUUUCAACAACGGAUCUCUAGAUCGGAA